RNAcentral lists this ribosomal RNA (2805 nucleotides) under Triticum aestivum (bread wheat). RNAcentral describes it as "partial small subunit ribosomal RNA". The record is from RNAcentral. Lineage: Eukaryota; Viridiplantae; Streptophyta; Magnoliopsida; Poales; Poaceae.
AUGCCUAACCGGGUGGGCGCCGACUCCGGGGGCGGCGGUGGAGCGGGGGAGCCCGUGGAGGCCAGCGGCGGCGUGCACGAGAGAGUACUGCCACCGGGGAAGAGCGAGCUGUUCGCGGAGCCCGUGUCCGGGCCGCGCGGAGGCGGGGGCGGCAGCGACAGCGACGAGGUGGAGAUCACGCUCGACAUGCUGGACGACUCGGUGGUGGUGCGAAGCGUGAAGCCGGUGGCGGGAGGCGGGGACUCGGCGGUGACGCCGGAGAAGCGGUCGUCCUCGCACGGCCAUGGCGUGCUCCGGAACGCCUCGGCGCGGUUCAAGCAAGNNNNNNNNNNGUCUCGGGAGCUCCGGCGGAUCGCGUCCUUCAACCUCCGGGGAGGCGGCCCUAGCCGCAUCGACAGGUCCAACUCGAAGCCCGUCGCCACGCACGCGCUCGAGGGUCUCAAGUUCAUCAGCGGCACUAACGGCUCCGCCGAGUGGACCGCCGCCGAGGGGAUCUUCGACAAAAAAGCCAGGAAUGGGCGCCUCCCCCGCUCCAAGUUCGGCGAGUGCAUCGGUAUGAAAGAGGCCGCGUUCGCCGGCGAGUUGUUCGACGCGCUGGCAAGGCGGCGGAACAUCACCGGAGAGAGCAUCAACAAGUCGGAGCUGCGUGAGUUCUGGGAUCAAAUUUCAGACACCAGCUUCGACAGCCGCCUGCAGACCUUCCUCGACAUGGUGGACAAGAACGACGACGGGAGGAUCAGCGAGGACGAGGCCAAACAGAUCAUCACGUUGAGCGUAUCGGCGAACAAGCUAACGAUGGUCCCGCGACAGUGCGAGGAGUAUGCACGUCUCAUCAUGGAGGCGUUGGACCCCAACGAACUCGGCUACAUCGAGCUGUACAACCUGAAGAUGUUGCUGCUGGAGGCGCCGAGCGAGUCGACAACCAACAACCACAAGCUCAGCAAACUGCUGAGCCAGCGUCUCCGUCCGACGACGGAUCCCAGCCCUGUCCGACGGUGGUACAAGCGUGCCAAGCACUCCCUGGAGGACAACUGGCGGCGCUGCUGGGUGAUGCUCCUGUGGCUGUCCAUCUGCGUGGGCCUCUUCGCCUGGAAGUUCAUGCAAUACCGCCACCACGCCGUGUUCGGGGUGAUGGGCUACUGCGUGUGUGUGGCCAAGGGCGGGGCCGAGACGCUCAAGUUCAACAUGGCGCUCACGCUCCUCCCCGUGUGCCGCAACAGCAUCACUUGGCUCCGGAGCCACACCACCGCCGGACGAAUCGUGCCCUUCAACGACAACCUCAAGUUCCACAUGGCGAUCGCGGUUGGGAUCACCGUCGGCGCCGGGCUACACAUCAUCUCCCACCUGGCAUGCGACUUCCCGCGGCUGCUGCACGCCAUGGACGACGAGUACGAGCCCAUGAAGCCAUUCUUCGGCGACGCCAAGCCGCCCAACUACUGGUGGUUCGUGAGGGGGACAGAGGGGUGGACGGGGCUAGUGAUGCUCGCGCUCAUGGCCGUCGCCUUUACGUUCGCCACGGCACCGCUCCGCAAGGGGAAGCUCCGCCUUCCCAAGCUCAAGAAGCUCGAGAGCCUCGACAGCAACCCCGAGCCUAGGGAGCUCACCCGCUUCGCCGAGCUCGUCAACGCCUCAUGCAGCCGCCUCACUUGGUUGGUCAACGCCUUGCUCAACCGCUUCACUGGGUACAACGUCUUCUGGUACACACACCACCUCUUCCUCGUCGUCUACGGGCUGCUCAUCGUCCAUGGACACUUUCUCUACCUCAACAACAAGUGGCAAAAGAAGUCGACGUGGAUGUACCUGGCGGUGCCGAUGACCGUGUACGCAUGCGAGCGGCUGACGAGGACGCUGCGGUCGAGCGUGAGGUCGGUGAAGAAAGUCAGGGUGGCCGUGCAUCCGCACCCGGCGACCCUUCUGUCGCUGCACUUGUCCAAGCCGCAGGGGUUCAGGUACAAGAGCGGGCAGUACAUCUACGUCAAGUGCCCCGACGUCUCGCCAUUCCAGUGGCACCCGUUCUCCAUCACGUCGGCGCCAGGGGAUGACUACGUCAGCGUCCACAUCAAAACGCUCGGCGACUGGACCAACCAGCUCAGGAACGCCUUCUUAAAGGUUUGCCCAGCACCGACAGAGGGGACGACCGAGAUUCUUCGGGUGGAGUACAACCACGAUGACGUCAUGUCCAACCCGAGCCUCCCGAAGGUGCUGAUCGACGGGCCGUACGGGGCGCCGGCGCAGGACUACAAGGAGUACGACAUCGUGCUACUGGUGGGACUCGGCAUCGGUGCAACGCCUAUGAUCUCCAUCAUCAAGGACAUCAUCACCAACGCGAGGCGGCUCGACGGGGACGUCGAGUCCGGCAACGGCCACGCCGGCGCCGCGAGCCCGUUCCGGACCCGUCGAGCCUACUUCUACUGGGUCACCCGGGAGCAGGGCUCCCUGGAGUGGUUCCGUGGGGUCAUGGACGAGGUGGCCGAGGCCGACGAGCAGCGCAUCAUCGAGCUCCACAACCACUGCACCAGCGUCUACGAGAAGGGCGACGCCCGGUCCGCGCUCAUCGCCAUGCUCCAGUCCCUCCACUACGCCAAGAACGGCGUCGACGUCGUCUCCGGCAGCCGCGUCAUGACCCACUUCGGCCGACCAAACUGGGCCCAAGUCUACCAGCGCAUCGCGGACGAGAACAAGCAAAAACGCGUCGGAGUGUUCUAUUGUGGCGAGCCGGUGCUCACGAACAAGCUGCGCGGGCUCGCAAAGGAUUUCUCAAGUAAAUCAAGCACAAAAUUCGUGUUCCACAGCGAGAAUUUCUAG